CCCUACGGGGUGCAGCAGGCGGGAGAGCCCGUCAGCUGUGAAAACUAUGGGCUUCACCCAUAAACUGCAGUUGAAACUGUUUUUCUUGAGUGGAGUAGAGGUAGGCGGAAUUCCGAGUGUAGCGGUGAAAUGCGUAGAUAUUCGGAGGAACACCAGUGGCGAAGGCGGCCUACUGGGCUCUAACUGACGCUGAGGCUCGAAAGUGUGGGGAGCAAACA
RNAcentral lists this ribosomal RNA (218 nucleotides) under uncultured prokaryote. RNAcentral's name for it is "partial 16S ribosomal RNA". It matches the Rfam family "Bacterial small subunit ribosomal RNA", at positions 565 to 774 of the family's 1533-position model. The record is from RNAcentral.